UUUCUCCUUUAGCUGACCACAGAUGAAAACAAAAUCUAUAAUGGCAGUGCUGGGUUUUAUAAAAAACGCAAGCAUGGAGUUGAAGGAUGUGGCUUGUUCUGUUUGGAUGAUGCAGGAUUGCUUUAAGCAGUAAGCUUACUGUUUUCAGAUGGCAUUAGCAGCAUCAGUGAUAUAGCUGUGUCAGCCUCCUUGUCUACUGGAUGUCUGUAACUGCACGGAGGAAACUAUAUUUAAGAUCUGAUAUCUGGAGGGUAAUGACUCCAGCACUUACUGAUGGACAGAAUGGCUGUUAAUGCUUUCUUUGCUAGCCCAGAAGAUUUUGAGAGGUAGAUGGAUUUGUGAUGCACUUUUGUAAGACAGGAAAUGCAAUUUUUGGGGGUCUCUGGAAAUAGAAAGGUCAUGCAGCUUGGAACCGGUGAGACAUUACAGUCUUUAAGUCAUCAGAGAAAUGAUGAAGAAGCUGUUGUGGAUAGAGGUGGAACUCGCUCCAUUCUCAAAACUCAUUUUGAAAAGGAAGAUCUAGAAGGUCAUCGAACAUUGUUCAUUGGCGUUCACGUGCCACUGGGUGGAAGAAAAAGUCACAGGCGCCAUAGGCACCGUGGACAUAAACACAGAAAAAGAGACAGAGAACGAGAUUCAGGAUUAGAAGAUGGGAGAGAGUCUCCUCCUUUUGAUACUCCAUCACAAAGAGUACAGUUUAUUCUUGGAACAGAAGAUGAUGAUGAAGAACACAUUCCUCAUGAUCUCUUUACUGAGCUUGAUGAGAUUUGUUGGCGUGAAGGAGAGGAUGCUGAGUGGAGGGAGACAGCAAGGUGGUUGAAGUUUGAAGAAGAUGUAGAAGAUGGUGGGGAAAGGUGGAGCAAACCAUAUGUUGCCACACUGUCACUUCAUAGCCUGUUUGAGCUGAGAAGCUGUAUCCUGAACGGCACAGUUUUGUUGGACAUGAGAGCUAACUCCAUAGAAGAAAUUGCAGAUAUGAUUCUGGACCAGCAGGUGGGCUCUGGGCAGCUCAGUGAGGAUGUUCGUCAUAGAGUGCAUGAAGCAUUACUGAAACAGCAUCACCAUCAGAACCAGAAGAAACUGAGCAAUAGGAUCCCGAUUGUGAGAUCCUUUGCUGAUAUUGGAAAGAAGCAGUCUGAGCCACAUUCCAUGGAUAAAAAUGCAGGUCAGAUUGUUUCCCCACAAUCUGCUCCAGCCUGUGUUGAGAACAAAAAUGAUGUGAGCAGAGAAAACAGCACUGUUGACUUUAGCAAGGUUGACUUGCACUUCAUGAAAAAGAUACCACCUGGAGCUGAAGCAUCCAACAUCUUAGUUGGUGAGCUGGAAUUCCUGGACCGUGCAGUUGUUGCUUUUGUUAGGUUAUCGCCUGCAGUGCUGCUUACAGGACUAGCUGAAGUUCCAAUUCCAACUAGAUUUUUGUUUAUUCUUCUUGGGCCAUUGGGUAAAGGGCAACAGUAUCAUGAGAUUGGAAGAUCAAUUGCAACACUGAUGACAGAUGAGGUGUUCCAUGAUGUUGCUUACAAAGCAAAAGACCGCAAUGACUUGGUGUCUGGAAUUGAUGAGUUUCUUGAUCAGGUUACAGUUCUCCCUCCUGGAGAAUGGGACCCAACAAUACGAAUAGAACCACCUAAAAAUGUUCCUUCUCAGGAGAAGCGUAAGAUUCCGGGAGUACCAAAUGGGACUGCAGCUCAUGGGGAGCCAGAACAUCCUGGUGGACACUCUGGACCAGAACUGCAACGCACUGGAAAAUUUUUUGGUGGAUUGAUUUUAGAUAUAAAAAGAAAGGCUCCAUUCUUCUGGAGUGACUUCCGGGAUGCCCUCAGUCUGCAGUGUCUGGCAUCGUUUUUGUUUCUCUACUGUGCUUGCAUGUCUCCUGUCAUCACAUUUGGUGGUCUACUGGGAGAAGCAACUGAAGGUCGUAUAAGUGCAAUAGAAUCACUGUUUGGAGCAUCCAUGACUGGAAUUGCCUACUCUCUCUUUGGUGGACAGCCUCUCACUAUACUUGGCAGCACAGGACCAGUUCUAGUGUUUGAGAAGAUUUUAUUCAAAUUUUGCAAAGAGUAUGGGUUAUCAUACCUUUCCCUGAGAGCUAGCAUUGGACUGUGGACUGCAAUCCUGUGCAUCAUCCUUGUUGCAACUGAUGCAAGCUCCCUAGUCUGUUACAUUACCCGAUUUACUGAAGAAGCUUUUGCUUCUCUUAUCUGCAUAAUUUUCAUUUAUGAGGCCUUAGAGAAGCUAUUUCAUCUCAGUGAGACAUAUCCAAUCAACAUGCAUAAUGAUUUGGACCUGCUGACCAAGUACUCAUGCAAUUGUGUGGAACCAGAGCAUCCUAGCAAUAAAACCUUACGAUACUGGCAGGACUACAAUAUAUCUGCAUCUGAUGUGCCAUGGGGGAACCUCACUGUGUCAGAAUGUAAAAAGUUUCAUGGAGAAUUUGUUGGACGAGCCUGUGGUCACCAUGGCCCUUAUGUUCCAGAUGUCCUUUUCUGGUCUGUCAUCUUAUUCUUUUCUACAGUAACUCUGUCGUCCACACUGAAGCAGUUCAAAACUAGCCGAUACUUCCCAACAAAGGUACGAUCUGUUGUCAGCGAUUUUGCUGUCUUUCUCACUAUUUUGUCCAUGGUUUUAAUUGACUAUGCCAUUGGGAUCCCAUCACCAAAACUUCAAGUUCCAAAUGCUUUUAAGCCCACCAGAGAUGAUCGAGGAUGGUUUAUUACUCCUUUGGGGCCUAACCCUUGGUGGACAGUGAUAGCUGCUGUAAUUCCAGCCCUGCUUUGCACUAUCCUUAUUUUUAUGGACCAGCAGAUUACAGCUGUCAUUAUAAACAGAAAAGAGCAUAAACUAAAGAAAGGGUGUGGAUAUCAUCUGGACUUACUCAUGGUGGCAGUCAUGCUUGGAGUGUGUUCCAUUAUGGGAUUGCCAUGGUUUGUUGCAGCCACUGUCCUCUCAAUUUCCCAUGUGAACAGCUUGAAACUGGAAUCAGAGUGUUCUGCUCCAGGGGAACAGCCAAAAUUUCUUGGAAUCCGGGAGCAAAGAGUCACAGGGCUCAUGAUUUUUGUACUUAUGGGCUCAUCUGUCUUUUUGACAAGUAUUCUGAAGUUUAUCCCUAUGCCAGUACUUUACGGGGUAUUCCUUUACAUGGGUGCUUCAUCUCUAAAGGGAAUUCAGCUUUUUGACAGGAUAAAAUUAUUCUGGAUGCCUGCAAAGCAUCAGCCAGAUUUUAUUUAUCUGAGGCAUGUUCCUCUUAGAAAAGUCCAUCUCUUCACUGUAAUUCAGCUGAGUUGUCUUGUACUCCUGUGGAUUAUAAAGGUUUCAAGAGCUGCCAUUGUCUUUCCCAUGAUGGUCUUAGCUUUGGUAUUUGUCCGAAAACUAAUGGAUUUCUUUUUCACGAAACGGGAGCUCAGUUGGUUAGAUGAUUUGAUGCCUGAGAGCAAGAAAAAGAAACUAGAAGAUGCUGAGAAAGAGGAAGAACAAAGUAUGUUAGCAAUGGAAGAGGAAGGGACUGUUCAGUUGCCACUAGAAGGACAUUACAGAGAUGAUCCAUCUGUGAUAAACAUUUCUGAUGAGAUGGCAAAAACUGCUGUGUGGAAGACAUUGUUAAUAUCCUCGGAGAAUGCAAAAGAUAAGGAGUCAAGCUUUCCUUCUAAAAGCUCCCCUUCCUAAUCAAUCUAGAAGCUGAUUCCCCAAAGUUAAGGAAUAAUUCCAAUGAAAACUGUGCUGAAAUCAGACAAGAGAAGAAAGCUGACUCAGGGAAAGGUGUCGACAGAGAGACUUGUCUGUGACUUGUUCUACAAUUAUUUUUUUUUACAAAUGAAUGAAAGGAGUGCCACAGCCACUAGAUAGAACUGAUAUGAUCUUGUAACUUUUGUCUUUCAUCUCAAACUAGCACAGGUAACGUAGCGCAAUGUUUGUCUCAUUACCCUUUGUCUAAACGUCUACAUUGUGUGCUAUCUGUGCAAAAGUCCAUGGUAGCCAAUGCCAAAAAUCUUCAUUUCCUUUGCUGGUGUUGGCCAUUUAUCAGUAUUCAUAUCAUAAAUUUAACAAAGUUUCUUUCGAAUUCAACGUACCUGUUAAUAUGUUUGUACUGUAUUUUGCUACUUUUCCUGUGUGAGAAAACUUAAUCUUUGCUGAAGUUGAACUUGAAACAGUUGUUCCAAUUUAUUUAUUUUUUUUAAAUCAUUUUACUGGAUGAAGAGAUUUUAGGAGACCCAACUUGACUAGUUGAGAUUAAAGAAGAUUUUAAAGUUAGAACUGAUCUGACCCUGUGAACAAACUCACAAGUGUAAUCCUUUUCUCCUCAAAUUGUCAUUCUGAAGUCAUGGAUUACUCUUGCAAUGGAGACUGCAGAGUCAGAUUCUGUAUUUGUGCAGUUUUUCUUGAUUUAAUACAGUGUAUUUAAUAUACAAAUUUGUAUGUAACUGGAACAUAGUCAUAUAUAUUAUAUAUAUAAAAAAUAUCUAUUAUAAACAUUCAUCACCUUAGUUGAAAAAUACCACCACAUCCUUUGAUGUGAAACAUUGGUAAGGUAUUUGUAAAAAUGCAAUCUGUGAUUACAGUAUCUUGUAUUGUAUGAAUGUCACCGUGGUAGGCCAAAUAACUGCAUUACAGCAUUACUGAAUUCAUUAUUUCAUAAUACGGAAAGUUUUGUAGAUGUAAACUCUAUCCCCCGUGCCAUUAUAUCACCUGCCCAAUGAUUUUCCUCUUCUUUCCUAAAAUGCACCCGCUUAAGUUGAUAUUUCUAUGGUUUUGUCUCUACUAACAAAUGUGGAACUCUUUAAUUCCAUAGACUGCGUGUACUUAAAUGCGUAUCCUGCUACUGGUUUUGUUACAGCCAUUUUAACUAUUCCAUAAAGUACAUAUUGAUGAAAAGAUUUAAAACAGCAUUGCAAAGUUAAAUGCAGCUUUAAGCCCUUUGCAAACACAUUCAUAACCAGUUUUCUCAUUACCUGAUCCUUCAGGCUGUUCUUUUGUGUGAAACAUGGACUGUGAGCUUCAGUACUGAAUUAAUAAGACAUUUACGGAUUAUUUGCAAUUUACUAAUUUUUAAUUUUUUUUUUAGAUAAAUUUUUAAAUGAUUAAAUGAAGACUAACUGUCACUACAGUUCUGAAUCCUAUGAAUGAGAAUCCACACCAUUGUGAUCAUUACAGCAACUCAGUGACAGGGCUUUAACAUUCCCUAGCUUUCCAAAAGACGCAAACGCUCGAACAGUCCGAAUGUGAAUAAUUUUUCAUAUCUAGUACAUUUAAAGUAUUCCUUCUACUGUUUUGGUGUGCGAGUCUAUAUUUCCUUUUUACUACUUCAGCCAUAAACAAUAACUGCUUUUUGCUGCAAACCAUUAGGGUUACUGUUCUACGUUUUUCCCUAGCAUUAUCAAAGCCCACUUAAAGGCCAUUUUUAUGGGGGAGAAACAUCUAAUGGACACAAAGAAGGAUUUGCAUUUAAUUAAGUGUUUGUAUUUAUGAAUUUAGGAAAAAAAAAAUGCCAAUACAUUAAAGUUAAAUGCUUUGUUUUGUGUAAUUGAUGAUAAAUUGUAAGAUUCCAAUUGUUUUAAGGUUAGUUAGAAGUUCAAUACUGGUUUGUCCUGAAAGCAGCCUGGUGGUGUUUUAAUAUGUUGCUGACUUUGUUUCAGGUAAUAUAUGCGAUCAAAAUGUAUUAGUUUCACUUGACCAACUCUUAGAAUAUUAAGAAAUCAGUGUACUCAAUGGCAUUCUGUAUUUUGUUCAGUAUUCCAGAGUGUUUUAUUUUUUUUAAACAGUCACUCUAUUCUUGUGUGAAUUUAAAUGCUAUUCUGAUGUUAAUCUCAACAUUCUGAAUCACACACAAUAUAAAGAAAAUGUAGUGCUAUAUUUACUUCUAAUUUCAUAUUCUUGCUCAAAAUUACUUAAAUUCUUGGAUGUAAUUUAUUACAAAAGUUUAUGUGUACAUGUGAAUAGACUAUUGUGUUUUUCACAAUUAAGAAAUGUUACGUGAAAAUAAAUAUUUAUCCUAACUAAU
Coturnix japonica (Japanese quail) is the source of this 5995-nucleotide RNA transcript. It is a transcript of the gene named solute carrier family 4 member 10, with no coding region annotated. The record is from RefSeq and is a predicted model, not a curated record. NCBI's taxonomy places the organism in Eukaryota, Metazoa, Chordata, Aves, Galliformes, Phasianidae.